Molecule: long non-coding RNA, 312 nt
Filed under: Gossypium barbadense (sea-island cotton)
Lineage: Eukaryota; Viridiplantae; Streptophyta; Magnoliopsida; Malvales; Malvaceae
Description: long non-coding RNA (GBAR_LNC020334)
Source: RNAcentral
CUCAGUGAAUGAUUUUAUUCUACAAUUGUCCGGAUCACCUAUUGGUUUAAGCCCACUCUACCCUUACACAAAGAAGUAAUUAUAGCCUACGUCUACCCUUACGCAAAGGAGAGAUAACACGUAAUGUUUGUUAAUGCAAUUCAGACACAAUAGUCCUACAUCUGCGAAGCCUCGCUCAAUGACACUGAUCCCAAUUAUCACAAAUCGUUCACCCAAAUACAUCACAAUACAAACAAUAAACUCUUUAAGGAAUACCUAAAAAAAAGUGUCACAAAAUAACCACAAGAAAAUAUAGCAAAGUUGUUGACAAAG